GACGAACGCUGGCGGCGUGCUUAACACAUGCAAGUCGAACGGAAAGGCCCUGCUUUUGUGGGGUGCUCGAGUGGCGAACGGGUGAGUAACACGUGAGUAACAUGCCCUUGACUUUGGGAUAACUUCAGGAAACUGGGGCUAAUACCGGAUAGGAGCUCCUGCUGCAUGGUGGGGGUUGGAAAGUUUCGGCGGUUGGGGAUGGACUCGCGGCUUAUCAGCUUGUUGGUGGGGUAGUGGCUUACCAAGGCUUUGACGGGUAGCCGGCCUGAGAGGGUGACCGGCCACAUUGGGACUGAGAUACGGACCAGACUCCUACGGGAGGCAGCAGUGGGGAAUAUUGCACAAUGGGCGGAAGCCUGAUGCAGCAACGCCGCGUGCGGGAUGACGGCCUUCGGGUUGUAAACCGCUUUCGCCUGUGACGAAGCGUGAGUGACGGUAAUGGGUAAAGAAGCACCGGCUAACUACGUG
Molecule: ribosomal RNA, 468 nt
Filed under: uncultured bacterium
Lineage: Bacteria
Description: partial 16S ribosomal RNA
Rfam family: Bacterial small subunit ribosomal RNA
Source: RNAcentral